CUGAGCUAUCAUGCCACCCUGAGUAUAUAUCACAUCUGGUUUCAGAAGCUAAGCAGGUCAGGCUUGAUUUGGGCUUAGAUGGGAGACCAUAGAGAAUGCAAAGGACUGCCUAGG
RNAcentral lists this ribosomal RNA (114 nucleotides) under Pogona vitticeps (central bearded dragon). The record is from RNAcentral. Lineage: Eukaryota; Metazoa; Chordata; Lepidosauria; Squamata; Agamidae.